This 433-nucleotide ribosomal RNA is filed under the name uncultured bacterium. RNAcentral describes it as "partial 16S ribosomal RNA". It matches the Rfam family "Bacterial small subunit ribosomal RNA", at positions 29 to 507 of the family's 1533-position model. The record is from RNAcentral.
AGCGAACGCUGGCGGCAGGCUUAACACAUGCAAGUCGAGCGGGCACUUCGGUGUCAGCGGCAGACGGGUGAGUAACACGUGGGAACGUACCCUUUGGUUCGGAAUAACGCUGGGAAACUAGCGCUAAUACCGGAUACGCCCUUUUGGGGAAAGGCUUGCUGCCGAAGGAUCGGCCCGCGUCUGAUUAGCUAGUUGGUGGGGUAAUGGCCUACCAAGGCGACGAUCAGUAGCUGGUCUGAGAGGAUGAUCAGCCACACUGGGACUGAGACACGGCCCAGACUCCUACGGGAGGCAGCAGUGGGGAAUAUUGGACAAGGGGCGCAAGCCUGAUCCAGCCAUGCCGCGUGAGUGAUGAAGGCCGUAGGGUUGUAAAGCUCUUUUGUCCGGGACGAUAAUGACGGUACCGGAAGAAUAAGCCCCGGCUAACUUCGUG